Molecule: ribosomal RNA, 324 nt
Filed under: Triticum aestivum (bread wheat)
Lineage: Eukaryota; Viridiplantae; Streptophyta; Magnoliopsida; Poales; Poaceae
Description: partial small subunit ribosomal RNA
Source: RNAcentral
AUGUUAAUGUUUUUGGGAGUUGCCACUAGUGAAAGUAUGAUCCCUAGGCCUUGUUUCCACCAUUGCAAUACCAUUUGUGCUCAUGUUUACCACUUGUUUGCUUGCUGUAUUUUUUAUUACAGAUUUAUAUUACUUUGCUUUGCCACUCCUAUCAUCCAUAUUUUACCAUCUCUUCGCCGAACUAGUGCACCUAUACAACUCCUAGUUGUAUUAGGUGUGUUGGGGACACAAGAGACUUCUUGUAUCUUAGUUGCAGGGUUGCUUGAGAGACCAUCUUCAACCUCUACUUCCCUGAGUUCGAUAAACCUUAGGUCAUCCACUUGA